UACGAAGGGGGCUAGCGUUGCUCGGAAUCACUGGGCGUAAAGCGCACGUAGGCGGCUUUUUAAGUCAGGGGUGAAAUCCUGGAGCUCAACUCCAGAACUGCCUUUGAUACUGGGAAGCUUGAGUCCGGGAGAGGUGAGUGGAACUCCGAGUGUAGAGGUGAAAUUCGUAGAUAUUCGGAAGAACACCAGUGGCGAAGGCGGCUCACUGGCCCGGUACUGACGCUGAGGUGCGAAAGCGUGGGGAGUAAACAGG
RNAcentral lists this ribosomal RNA (253 nucleotides) under uncultured bacterium. Its description in RNAcentral is "partial 16S ribosomal RNA". It matches the Rfam family "Bacterial small subunit ribosomal RNA", at positions 524 to 776 of the family's 1533-position model. The record is from RNAcentral.